GUUUGAGAAAGAGAGACAGAAUCCCACGGGCUCCUGUGAACAGGGCCACCUCUGACUCACCCUCUUCACUGCAGCUCGCCACAGAGCUGGCCCAGAUUCAAGGGCGGGUGAACAGACCCUGCUUCUUGAUGGGAGGGGCCGGCAAGCCCCCAUCGCAGAAGACGCGGACCCGGGGACCGAAUUUGCCGUAAAUCGAACACCACUUGUGAUACCCAGUAAGUGUCCAAAAUCUGUAGGUUUGAUUUUGGGGGUUUGAAGGAAUGCGUUUUCUCAGUGUGAGGUGGAGAGGGUUAUUAAGUGAGGAUCCUUUAAAACAUCGAUUACAGUUUAGGUGACAUUAAACUGAAAAUCACUGCAUAGAGAAAUCUUUCAUAAAUCUAUCUUAUUCAAGCGAUAUUCAGUAAGGUACAAUUCCCAACCACAAAGUACCCGGCAACGAAGCAAUUGGAAAAGUCGUUUGGAGUUGGCUGUUUUGGGACCUGCUACUUGCGAAUGUCAGAACGAUUUCAAGACUGGCUUCUCGGAGAUGGGGCCUGGGAACGGCAUGUGGAGGAUCUGGAAGAGGGGCAGGUAGAUGGAACGGUGGGGUGUGGGCAGGAAGCGCGGAGCCUGGGAUUGCCAGUGUUCUGAGCCCUCACGAGGGGGGUCUGGCUGCAUCCUGGAGGCAUGCGGGGCUCGCUUCUUCUUGGUGGUGGAGGCUGGGUGGGCAGCGUGAAUGCCGGUCGUGUGGGACCUACUGGUGAACCCAUCGUUGCUAGGAGACGUUAACCCCCGCCGGGUGGGGCAGCUGAAUGGAGGGAACUUCAUAAAAGCGGUGACUCAUGGAGGUGGUAUAGCCAGAAUCUUCCAGAACUACAAAGCAGAGGGCUGUGUCCUAAGCUCCUCUUGCUGUCACCGUGCACGGGACUUGCCCCGGUCACGUCAUUGCUCCAGCCUCGUCCCCUGAAGGGCAGCAAACACCUCUUACUCACAUGAUGUGUGAGCCAUGUUAUUGUCUGAGUUUCUUUCUUGCUCUACGAGCAAUGAUUCAUGCAUUUGAAUUAAAGAGUAAAUUAACAACAGCUGCUUCCUUCCCAACAAAAACAAAUAAAAAAACCUUUCUCCCUGGAAGGCGGCAAAACCAAGCUGAUUUAUAAUUCUGGGAGGAAAAGGGCCAUUCUUGAUGGGACACCGAGGCUAAAAUGAUUAAUACGCGGCUGCAUGAAACUUCAAAGACCAAACUCAAUCCAACCCAAAUUAAACCAUAACAUCACAAAACUUGUGAAUGGUAAGAAAUGCUAAAAAUUUAGGAGGCCAAUAAAACCAAGAGAAAAUACUCGAAUCGUCUCUGACAGAAAAAGAAAACCAAUAAGGAAAAUAACCCAAAGAAAUAUUGGUAAAGAUCACAAAGAGGGGAUUCACAAAAGAUAAAAAAUGCAAAGGGACAAUUAGCUAAUGGAAAAAAUGUUCAGUGUUGCUGAUAACCAAAUAAGCUUGAAAAAUGAGGCACUUUUAAUUUAUAUUAGAGAGAGGAAAUAGGUUAGAACUCCUUGGUGUUGGGACAGAAAUGGGGACUCUCCAAAGUGGCCCACAGUCAGCUGCCCGUGUCCUUGUCUCAGCCUUCAUGGCAAAUGAUCGCACAUGCGCGGCGGUGUGGCCGGGAAAAAGACGGCUUUCGAUUCCCUCCAUCGGGUGCCACAGUCAGACACACUGAUGCCCAGUCACCCUCGGGCAGGCAAUUUCUAAGGUAAUGAGUUUGGCUUCCUCUCUUCCUGCCUUUUGCUUCACACACUUCCUGCCACGUUGUCAGCCAUGUUCAACAGGCCUCAUCAUCCGUGGCAGCAAAAUCUACUUCCUGCCAAUUCCGCUCUUCUCUCAAUUUCUAGGUGUCCCUGCUCAUUCUUCUGUCCUUCUUUGGCUAAGCUUCAGUGAGUGAGAGGCAUGGUUGGCAGAGGCAGGCGUGACCCAGGAUGUGUCGGACGGAGAGCAGAGGGGACCUGACAGGUGGGGUGGGUCCAGAGACCCUCGGAGGACAGAGACAUUGAGUUGGGAUUCUGAGGGGGGAAGACUGGAAUUAGGAAGGUGACGGACACCAUGCCGACCGCCAGUGAGUGAUUAAUGAAUCCCACCUCUCAUUCUGUCUGCCCUCUCUUGUGUCCCUCCAGCUCAAAAUAGAGACACCUUUGGUGACUGGAGCUUUAGGAAGAGAGAAGGCCGGAGAGGCAACAGGAAUGGAUGUGAAGAUACUACAGGCCAAACAGCUGGGGCCUCACUGGAGGAACAUACCUCUUCACUUAGACUGGUCAGGCACAAAUUCAGUGCAGCACGGGCAGUGGCCUCUGUUGAAGGUGACAGUCUGGCCGCGAUACGUCCGAAGUGCCCCCCUGCCAGCUCUAGACAAGGAACCGUGUCCAGAGAAGGCCUGGCCGCUGGUCAGGUCUCAGUUAAGUGCAUAUUAGACAAAUGCACGGCGGGUUGCAGCCGAGACUUCAUGGCAAGUAUUGCCCCAGAUGCUGUUGGUGACGGCCUCUCCCCCAUCCCUUGGCUCCUACAUUUCUGUGCAGCCGGUAGACUCCCAACGGCGACCAUCUGUAUCUCCUUGCCUACGCUGCCCACACGCUGGGUGGGCUGGAAGUGCCGGGGAGGUGCCCUCCCCGCUCAGGCAACCCCCUUAGCCCUGACUGAGGGGAGCUGGUGGAUAAAUGCCCAGGUCCCUCCCCGCAGCACGGGACGCGAGAUAACCCCCGGUCAUGAUCCCAGAUGGCGUCCAGAGUCCCCAGAGCACUGAGCCACAGUAGGAACUUAUUUGACAACAGACCCCUUCCUGGCUUUCUGCCUGUCUCUCUCACCGCCCCCUCCCAUACCUGUGUGUCCUGUUGUCACCGCCCCCUCCACCCNN
RNAcentral lists this long non-coding RNA (2878 nucleotides) under Lynx pardinus (Iberian lynx). Lineage: Eukaryota; Metazoa; Chordata; Mammalia; Carnivora; Felidae. The record is from RNAcentral.